CCCUUAGAUGUUCUGGGCCGCACGCACGCUACACUGAUGCAUUCAACGAGUCUAAAACCUGCUCUGAUAGGGGUGGGUAAUCUUUUGAAUGUGCAUCGUGAUUGGGAUAGAUGAUUGCAAUUUUUCAUCUUCAACGAGGAAUGCCUAGUAAACGCAAGUCAUCAGCUUGCAUUGAUUACGUCCCUGCCCUUUGUACACACCGCCCGUCGCUCCUACCGAUUGAAUGAUCCGAUGAAUAUCAUGGAUUGAGGAUGCAAGUAGGUUCGCCUAUCUUCAUCUUCGAGAAGUGAAGUAAAUCUUAUCAUUUAGAGGAAGGAGAAGUCGUAAC
Molecule: ribosomal RNA, 328 nt
Filed under: uncultured eukaryote
Lineage: Eukaryota
Description: partial 18S ribosomal RNA
Rfam family: Eukaryotic small subunit ribosomal RNA
Source: RNAcentral